Gallus gallus (chicken) is the source of this 1177-nucleotide long non-coding RNA. NCBI's taxonomy places the organism in Eukaryota, Metazoa, Chordata, Aves, Galliformes, Phasianidae. The record is from Ensembl.
AAGUUGGGAUCUUCGUUCUGCAGCCGCUGGGCCACGUCCCAGAACACAGUGCUGCAGGCAACGUUUGUGCUCAGCAGGCGGUUAUCCACGGGAGCAGCGGGGAGAAGCCAUUCAGCAUACUUGAAGUUGUUCCUGCUUGCAUUUUCUCCCCCACUUCUUCCUUUGUAGGCUUUUCUUUGUUGUUGUUGUUUGUUUUUUAAUGGCAAGAAAGAAGAUAAAUAGCAAAGACUGCUGCAGGGGAAACACUGGGGAUACAACCACCUAAUUAUGAAUUUCCUGAGCGUGCAACAUGACCAGGAGCAACUGGACAGGAUUAGCAUUGUUUCUGCUGGCCCUGAGAGUGAGAGCCUGAGCCUGCAGCUCUGCCUUGUGAAUGCACCACGUUAAGCACCACAGACUGAGCCAGCCUGCUGCCCAGCACCUCCGUAACGUGGCUGGGGAGAAAACUCGUGCACGGCACACACCCAUGUUGUGUGGUACUGAGAAUGCCUGCGGGCAGUGCUCCCCAGUGGCAAAAUGUUUCCUCCUCGUCUGAUUAAUGCUUUUCCUUGAUCAGCUGGCCUGGGGAGUAAGCCACUAAAGAAGAGUUCAAUCUGUUAUUGAGAUAUAUCCAAUGUGGUUGUGGCAGAUGAGCUUCUCUUUGACUUCUGCUCCAAUGGUGAGACGAAAGUGAAGUAAGUGUGAAUUGUAAAUGCUUUACACGCGGCAGAGAAAUGCACACCACCCACCCACCACUACUCGUAAUGACUGCAGAGGGCAUCUCUCUGUUUGUGCUGGUGAGGGGACAGUUCACCCAACAUCGCCACAUCCUGAGCCUGUGCCGAUUCUUCAGACAAGACCCAGCCUCCCUCUGGCCCAUUUGAUAGAACAGAUACAAACCCAGAGUUUUCAUUUCCUUCCUCGGCUUUAUUUAUUUUCGUUUUCCUAUCUCCAGGUUUGUUUACUCUUCGCUUUAAUCUCUCAGUAAAUUUUUAGCUCAGAGAUUUCUUUCCUCUCUAAGCCAACUCCCUUUUCUCCUUUUCUCUCUCUUUUCCUUCACAAAGCAGCCCACAGGACCAAGUCAAGGCUUUACCACCCUGGUGAAUAAUUAAUCUCAUCUGAGUCUGUAACUUAAUCCAGCAUCAUCAAAAAGUCUGCAUGUUUGGGGUCACUAAUAAAACAAAACAUUUUUCUGCUU